Molecule: ribosomal RNA, 253 nt
Filed under: uncultured bacterium
Lineage: Bacteria
Description: partial 16S ribosomal RNA
Rfam family: Bacterial small subunit ribosomal RNA
Source: RNAcentral
UACGUAGGUGACAAGCGUUGUCCGGAUUUACUGGGCGUAAAGAGCGCGCAGGCGGUCGAUCAAGUCGAGUGUGAAAGCCCCCGGCUCAACUGGGGAGGGUCAUUCGAAACUGGUCGACUCGAAGGCAGGAGAGGGUAGUGGAAUUCAUGGUGUAGCAGUGAAAUGCGUAGAGAUCAUGAGGAAGACCAGUGGCGAAGGCGGGUCUCUGGACAGUUCCUGACACUGAGGCACGAAGGCCAGGGGAGCAAACGGG